This 496-nucleotide ribosomal RNA is filed under the name uncultured bacterium. RNAcentral describes it as "partial 16S ribosomal RNA". It matches the Rfam family "Bacterial small subunit ribosomal RNA", at positions 28 to 507 of the family's 1533-position model. The record is from RNAcentral.
GAUGAACGCUGGCGGCGUGCCUAAUACAUGCAAGUCGAGCGAACAGACGAGGAGCUUGCUCCUCUGACGUUAGCGGCGGACGGGUGAGUAACACGUGGAUAACCUACCUAUAAGACUGGGAUAACUUCGGGAAACCGGAGCUAAUACCGGAUAAUAUAUUGAACCGCAUGGUUCAAUAGUGAAAGACGGUUUUGCUGUCACUUAUGAUGGAUCCGCGCCGCAUUAGCUAGUUGGUAAGGUAACGGCUUACCAAGGCAACGAUGCGUAGCCGACCUGAGAGGGUGAUCGGCCACACUGGAACUGAGACACGGUCCAGACUCCUACGGGAGGCAGCAGUAGGGAAUCUUCCGCAAUGGGCGAAAGCCUGACGGAGCAACGCCGCGUGAGUGAUGAAGGUCUUCGGAUCGUAAAACUCUGUUAUUAGGGAAGAACAAAUGUGUAAGUAACUAUGCACGUCUUGACGGUACCUAAUCAGAAAGCCACGGCUAACUACGUG